This 432-nucleotide ribosomal RNA is filed under the name uncultured bacterium. Its description in RNAcentral is "partial 16S ribosomal RNA". It matches the Rfam family "Bacterial small subunit ribosomal RNA", at positions 29 to 506 of the family's 1533-position model. The record is from RNAcentral.
AACGAACGCUGGCGGCAUGCCUAACACAUGCAAGUCGAACGAGACCUUCGGGUCUAGUGGCGCACGGGUGCGUAACGCGUGGGAACCUGCCCUUAGGUUCGGAAUAACUCCCCGAAAGGGGUGCUAAUACCGGAUAAUGUCUUCGGACCAAAGAUUUAUCGCCUUUGGAUGGGCCCGCGUUGGAUUAGCUAGUUGGUAGGGUAAAAGCCUACCAAGGCGACGAUCCAUAGCUGGUCUGAGAGGAUGAUCAGCCACACUGGGACUGAGACACGGCCCAGACUCCUACGGGGGGCAGCAGGGGGGAAUAUUGGAAAAGGGGCGAAAGCCGGAUCCAGCAAUGCCGGGUGAGUGAGGAAGGCCUUAGGGUUGUAAAGCUCUUUUACCCGGGAUGAUAAUGACAGUACCGGGAGAAUAAGCCCCGGCUAACCCCGU